AGGGCAGCCUUCCAAGGCAUCACUGGGAUAUCUCUGAGAGGAGAGCUGAGGCAGCCUGACCUGUGUCCUGCUGGAGAAAGCACCUUCUGUUGCAUUUUUUUGUGGCUAUUAACUGGAACUCUGAAUGGGAUUCCAUAACUGUUGGGAUGACAAGUGUUGAAUUUUGAGCCAGGAAUGCCAGUGCUGAGUGAUUAAACAAUAAAUCAUAACACACAGAGACAACAGCAAUCCCUGGGACCAGCUGUAAGUGACAGACUUAUGGAAUGCUCUUUUAU
Long non-coding RNA from Zonotrichia leucophrys gambelii, 275 nucleotides. RefSeq lists it as uncharacterized. Lineage: Eukaryota; Metazoa; Chordata; Aves; Passeriformes; Passerellidae. The transcript has 3 exons. The record is from RefSeq and is a predicted model, not a curated record.